UGAGGAAUAUUGGUCAAUGGGCGGGAGCCUGAACCAGCCAAGUAGCGUGCAGGAUGACGGCCCUAUGGGUUGUAAACUGCUUUUAUACGGGGAUAAAGUCAACUACGUGUAGUUGUUUGCAGGUACCGUAUGAAUAAGGACCGGCUAAUUCCGUGCCAGCAGCCGCGGUAAUACGGAAGGUCCGGGCGUUAUCCGGAUUUAUUGGGUUUAAAGGGAGCGUAGGCCGUGGAUUAAGUGUGUUGUGAAAUGUAGGCGCUCAACGUCUGACUUGCAGCGCAUACUGGUCCACUAGAGUGCGCGCAACGCGGGCGGAAUUUGUCGUGUAGCGGUGAAAUGCUUAGAUAUGACGAAGAACCCCGAUUGCGAAGGCAGCUCGCGGGAGCGCAACUGACGCUGAAGCUCGAAAGUGCGGGUAUCGAACA
Molecule: ribosomal RNA, 422 nt
Filed under: uncultured bacterium
Lineage: Bacteria
Description: bacterial SSU rRNA
Rfam family: Bacterial small subunit ribosomal RNA
Source: RNAcentral